RNAcentral lists this ribosomal RNA (438 nucleotides) under uncultured bacterium. RNAcentral's name for it is "bacterial SSU rRNA". It matches the Rfam family "Bacterial small subunit ribosomal RNA", at positions 29 to 514 of the family's 1533-position model. The record is from RNAcentral.
AACGAACGCUGGCGGCGUGCCUAACACAUGCAAGUCGAACGAACCCUUCGGGGUUAGCGGCGGACGGGUUAGUAACGCGUGGGAAUAUACCCUUUGGUACGGAAUAGCCUCGGGAAACUGAGAGUAAUACCGUAUGUGCCCUUCGGGGAAGAUUUAUCGCCAAAGGAUUAGCCCGCGUUGGAUUAGAUAGUUGGUGGGGUAAUGGCCUACCAAGUCUACGAUCCAUAGCUGGUUUGAGAGGAUGAUCAGCAACACUGGGACUGAGACACGGCCCAGACUCCUACGGGAGGCAGCAGUGGGGAAUCUUAGACAAUGGGCGCAAGCCUGAUCUAGCCAUGCCGCGUGGACGAUGAAGGCCUUAGGGUUGUAAAGUCCUUUCAGAUGGGAAGACAAUGACGGUACCAUCAGAAGAAGCCCCGGCUAACUCCGUGCCAGCAG